Molecule: ribosomal RNA, 238 nt
Filed under: uncultured bacterium
Lineage: Bacteria
Description: partial 16S ribosomal RNA
Rfam family: Bacterial small subunit ribosomal RNA
Source: RNAcentral
UGGCGGACGGGUGAGUAACGCGUGGGUAACCUGCCCUGUACAGGGGGAUAACAGCUGGAAACGGCUGCUAAUACCGCAUAAGCGCACGAGGAGACAUCUCCUUGUGUGAAAAACUCCGGUGGUACAGGAUGGGCCCGCGUCUGAUUAGCUGGUUGGCAGGGUAACGGCCUACCAAGCCGACGAUCAGUAGCCGACCUGAGAGGGUGACCGGCCACAUUGGGACUGAGACACGGCCCAA